Molecule: ribosomal RNA, 253 nt
Filed under: uncultured bacterium
Lineage: Bacteria
Description: partial 16S ribosomal RNA
Rfam family: Bacterial small subunit ribosomal RNA
Source: RNAcentral
UACGUAGGGUCCGAGCGUUAAUCGGAAUUACUGGGCGUAAAGCGUGCGCAGGCGGUUUUGUAAGCCAGAUGUGAAAUCCCUGGGCUCAACCCAGGAACUGCAUUUGAAACUCCCUGCCUUGAGUGCUGGAGAGGAAAGCGGAAUUCCUGGUGUAGAGGUGAAAUUCGUAGAUAUCAGGAGGAACACCGGUGGCGAAGGCGGCUUUCUGGACAGUAACUGACGCUGAGACGCGAAAGCGUGGGGAGCAAACAGG